UACGAAGGGGGCGAGCGUUGUUCGGAUUUACUGGGCGUAAAGGGCGCGCAGGCGGCGGACCAAGUCAGGCGUGAAAGCCCCGGGCUUAACCUGGGAGGUGCGUCUGGGACUGGUUUGCUAGAGUUCGGGAGAGGAGAGUGGAAUUCCCAGUGUAGAGGUGAAAUUCGUAGAUAUUCGGAAGAACACCAGUGGCGAAGGCGGCUCACUGGACCGGUAUUGACGCUGAGGUGCGAAAGCGUGGGGAGCAAACAGG
RNAcentral lists this ribosomal RNA (253 nucleotides) under uncultured bacterium. RNAcentral describes it as "partial 16S ribosomal RNA". It matches the Rfam family "Bacterial small subunit ribosomal RNA", at positions 524 to 776 of the family's 1533-position model. The record is from RNAcentral.